UGGCCAAGGUCUCUUGAGGCU
RNAcentral lists this microRNA (21 nucleotides) under Triticum aestivum (bread wheat). Its description in RNAcentral is "tae-miR9653b". Lineage: Eukaryota; Viridiplantae; Streptophyta; Magnoliopsida; Poales; Poaceae. The record is from miRBase by way of RNAcentral.